GAUCCUGGCUCAGGAUGAACGCUAGCGACAGGCUUAACACAUGCAAGUCGAGGGGCAGCACGGUGUAGCAAUACACUGGUGGCGACCGGCGCACGGGUGAGUAACACGUGUGCAACCAACCCCGUACCGGGAGAUAACCCGCGGAAACGUGGACUAACAUCCCAUAAGACUCUAGAGCCGCAUGGCUCUGGAUUUAAAAUUCCGGUGGUACGGGACGGGCACGCGCGACAUUAGGUAGUUGGCGGGGUAAGGG
RNAcentral lists this ribosomal RNA (253 nucleotides) under uncultured bacterium. RNAcentral's name for it is "partial 16S ribosomal RNA". It matches the Rfam family "Bacterial small subunit ribosomal RNA", at positions 15 to 263 of the family's 1533-position model. The record is from RNAcentral.